Molecule: ribosomal RNA, 468 nt
Filed under: uncultured bacterium
Lineage: Bacteria
Description: partial 16S ribosomal RNA
Rfam family: Bacterial small subunit ribosomal RNA
Source: RNAcentral
GACGAACGCUGGCGGCGUGCUUAACACAUGCAAGUCGAACGGAAAGGCCCUGCUUUCGUGGGGUGCUCGAGUGGCGAACGGGUGAGUAACACGUGAGUAACCUGCCCUUGACUUUGGGAUAACUUCAGGAAACUGGGGCUAAUACCGGAUAGGAGCUCCUGCUGCAUGGGGGGGGUUGGAAAGUUUCGGCGGUUGGGGAUGGACUGGCGGCUUAUCAGCUUGUUGGUUGGGUAGUGGCUUACCAAGGCUUCGACGGGUAGCCGGCAUGGGAGGGUGACCAGCGACCUGGGUCCUACGAGACGGCCCAGACUGGUACGGUAGGCAGUAGUGGGGAAUAUUGCACAGUGGGCCGAAGCGUGAUGCAGCAACGCCGCGAGCGGGAUGAAGUCCUUGGUGUGGUAAAGCGCAUUAGGCUAAGACGUAGCUGGAGUGACGUUAAUAGGUGAAGAAGCACCGGCUAACUACGUG